UACUUGAAAAGAUUCUGGUAGGUGAAUU
RNAcentral lists this small RNA (28 nucleotides) under Bombyx mori (domestic silkworm). RNAcentral describes it as "ovarian small RNA-3004". Lineage: Eukaryota; Metazoa; Arthropoda; Insecta; Lepidoptera; Bombycidae. The record is from RNAcentral.